Long non-coding RNA from Falco peregrinus (peregrine falcon), 3428 nucleotides. RefSeq lists it as uncharacterized. The record is from RefSeq and is a predicted model, not a curated record. The transcript has 5 exons. NCBI's taxonomy places the organism in Eukaryota, Metazoa, Chordata, Aves, Falconiformes, Falconidae.
UGCAUAGGUGUAAAUAAAUAGACCAUUCUGUGCUUGCAGCCCUCAAACACUUGCGUCCUUCCCUAUUUACACAUUGUGCUGGGUGAGGUAAACCUUGGCCCAGGUCCCUUUCCCAAGGCAGACCCUGGCUUAGACACCAGGUCCAAGCCGGGAGAGCAGAAGCCCCAGCAGCUUCUUCCCCAGAUCACGCAGCACAUCUCCCUGAGCGCAGCCCUAAGAGGUAACUGCUGCCCUAAGUCACUGCUUUGCCAUCUUCUGCGGGCACUUAGACAUGGAUAGGCACCACAGCAGGUACUUUCUCAGGAGCCCAGGGCUGCUAAAGUGACUCCAGAAACAAGAGCGCUGCUCCAGCCUAGCAAAUACCUGGCACUCCAGGACUAUCCAGGUGAUUUGUUCCAUGUCUUGGCUUGCACCGUCAGCUGUGCCUCAGUCAAGCAGAGGUAGAGAUAUCAGCUUUUGUUAGUACCGAGUAGACGACUGCACCAUCCAGGAGAAAUCACCUGAUACACAGGAAAGGAAAUAUCAUGGAUUUGAGUCUGGGACUACAUGGGAGUUCCUCUUUAUCUCAACAACCAGGCCUCUAAAUCUUCCCUAGCAAAAGAAAAUUAUCGGCAACAUGGCUUUGUUAAUAACUAAAAUAUUUUAGCGUAUUGCAAGUGCGUGCAAAAGGUCCACGUGCUUUUAGCUACCAUCAGUCCAAAUUCAGAGUCCCAUUUGAAUGUGCUCUGCUGUAUGAAAGUAAUUGGAAAAAUAUGGCUAAAAAUGUGUCUGUACACAUGCACAUAAGAAAAGCAGCUUUCAUUAAACAUAGAAACAUAUGCCAGAUUUAAAUAGCAAGUUUCCUCUGAUUACUACAGCCAGCACUGGGUACAUGGAAUGGUACCUUGCUUGGCUUGAUCACGUGCAACACUGAUACUUCCAAGCAAGUCAAGAUAACUCCAAGAAGUCAAAAAAGAGGGGAUAGUUGGAAUUUUGGAGACUGACUGCCAAGUGUUGUGAAUCUUCACUGAUCAAGCAGAAACUAGCACCAAGUCCCUAGGAGACACCAUCAAGGCAGAAAACCAGGAGAGCUGUAAGAGUGAGACCUUGCUUGCUUGCAGCAGCUGUCAGCGCAAGACCUGAUGAAGAUACAAAUUCAUUUAUAUCUUCAUGGUGAAGAUAGAAACUGAUCGGUUUUGUAAUAAAUGUGAACCUACGCAGCUGUGCGAGGCUGCAAUAGGUUGGACGCCAGUGGCUGCUGCUGCCCCAGGUCUGUGGCUGUGCCGUGCCAGAUUCUGACCGCCUCCCCAGCUGCACCACCAUCACCACCUCAGAACAAGCUGAAGAAAGGGGCUUCUGGGAGACUUUCUAUUAGGAACACCAUAAAUAAAUAAGCAACAGCACCAAGACAUCACACAGGCAACAGCAGUCCUGUGAACACAGCCAAAGCCAGCCCGCAGCCUCAAGGACAUGAGCAUUACAGGAGUAGGCUGUUGCUUCCUAGCACCUAACAAAGCAGAACCUGGAGUCGACCGAGUUCCCGUGGUGGCUGACCAGUGCCAGGGUGAAGGCUCUGGUCCCUUUUCAACUUCAUGUACAAAUGAAGAAUCAAACCAGCCACUAUUACACACUUGCAAGUGCAACACUUGAGUUCAUGAAAACAGCACUCUUCUGCUCCUCUUCAAAGUUUCUCUCAUCAUACAUUCACAUCCCCUAGGGAGCAACUCAUUUUCUGUGUAAGGAUUUUAUUUUAUAACCAUAAUAUUAUUGUGUAAUGAGUAUAAUGAAAUGUCACCCAUUCUAUGGUAUUACAUUGGGAAAUAAAGGCUGGAGAUUCACACCACUGUCAUCACCCUUCAGAAAAAGUCAGCAGAGCCAGCACCGUGUCACUGGCAGCAGAGCCAUGGGAUACAAAUGAACUUGUACUUAGUUAAAACACUGAAAUUUUACUUGAUUGGCUGUUUCUAUGUACACAAACAAACAAAAAAAGAUUGAUUAUUGAUUACCUGAUUACAAAAUUGUACAUUCCUUGUUAAUACAAAAUCAAUAAUUAAAACAAUUUUUUUUGAAAGCAAUAAGUGAGUCCCACCUUCUCUGACCAUGAGGCAGACACACCAAGCCGUUAUCAGAAAGGAGCUGCAGGAGCCUGUCUGCCCAACAUCCAGCGUGUUGCUCAGGGAUGCACCUUGGUGGGUCCCAUGGUCUUGCACAGAGAACUGAUGGACCAUCAUUGGCUGAGCUCUAUUUGCUGGAUAGUGAAAGCAGGAUAAAUGUACUUGUAAUCUAAUUCCCAUCAACUAGAUAUUUCACCCCCAAAAUCAUCUGCACAAGUUGGGAGUGCUGGAAAAACGGCCCACACAGUAAUUCACUGCUAUUUCAGUGGCACUACUAGCAUCUGUGGUUUGCAGUGUUUUGGUAUAUUUUUUUUACCAAACUACAUUUUAUCAAAGUACAAGUGCACAAGUAUGAAGUACAGUCCUAUUGCUGAGUAGAUCUUUGCUGGCCUGGGCACAGAAACACUGCAUUCAUAGGAGAAAUUAAACAGAAAACCCUGCUUAAAGCCAACCCAUUUCUUGCAGAAUUUUAAAUAUCUCACAACACUACUCUGGCUCCUUUUUAUCAUACAAUUAGAAAGAAUAAGGGCUGCAAAGCAAGGGUUGCCUGUGAAUAGGUGGGGGGCUGGCGGCAGCAGCAGGAAAGGCAAUAUUGCCAGCUCUGCUCUGGCCAUUAACAACAGCAAUUUGCCCACAAACAAUCUGGAAAGAGUUUUCUCAGGUUACAGUACAGUUAAUAGAGUUGGAAAUUCCUCCUUUUUCAGAUUACCUCAGCCUUCUUUAUGCAACCUUUAAGUAUAUGGCAAAGUGCAAAGAAGGUUUUGAUAGCAUAUAACUGAUCUGCAGCGCGGGGGCCUGAUCCAGGAGUUCAUCACUGCUCCCCGUUGCUCCGGGUGCAAAAACACGAGACCUCCCUGUGCAGCUGCCUUUGUGAACUGGAAGGAAAAUUAAAACACUUGUAGGCUAGUUUCUGAUCUAACUGUUAUUUAAGGGGGUGGGAUGAAUUGACAUAAACAACGUAAUUUAACAAGAUACAACAUCACCACUUCAAUACCAGAUUUUGCUGACAGCCAGAGCAUUGCAGAACCUCAUGAGCACAGAGAAAGCUGUUGAGAGGAGAAACAAAUAACACAGAUAUGCCAAUAGAAAACAUGCAUUCUAGAUUAAUUAUAAUUAACUGUUGGUCUGAGCCAAAGUCCAUUAUGUGACACAGAUUAAUCAAAACAUCAGAAACCAGCUCAGUUAUUUUGCAUGUCAGGAAUCUCUUCCAUAGAUCUCUGAUUACAACAUUAUGGAUUCUUCAUAUUGUUCUUUCAAAUGUACCUUUCCACCUCCUCAGAUUUAAGAGCUGUUAUUACAGUGUCAAAGCACUUGAUAAUAAAAAACCUGUACACC